Molecule: unclassified non-coding RNA, 156 nt
Filed under: uncultured fungus
Lineage: Eukaryota; Fungi
Description: sequence contains ITS1
Source: RNAcentral
UUGACAUUUGAUUCUUCAGACAAAAAGGGCAUGUUGAAGCAUAAAGGCGGCGCCAAUGGGCGCCGAAGCACAUGUUUUGUUCCACAGUGGUUUGAGGGUGAGAAGAUCAAGGAUGAUCAUUCAGUAAUGAUCCCUCCGCAGGUUCACCUACGGAGA